GACGAACGCUGGCGGCGCGCCUAAUACAUGCAAGUCGGACGGACAGCCCUCGGGUUGUCAGUGGCGGACGGGUGAGUAACACGUGGGUGACCUGCCUUCCGGUGGGGAAUAACGCUUAGAAAUAGGCGCUAAUACCGCAUACGCUUAGUGCUUCGCUGCAUUAAGUAAAGAGCGAUUGCCGGAAGAGGGGCCUGCGUCAGAUUAGCUAGUCGGUGGGGUAACGGCUUACCGAGGCACGAUCUGUAGCUGGUCUGAGAGGACGACCAGCCACACUGGGACUGAGACACGGCCCAGACUCCUACGGGAGGCAGCAGUAAGAUAUUCCACAAUGGGCGCAAGCCUGAUGGAGCGACGCCGCGUGAGUGAAGAAGGCCUU
RNAcentral lists this ribosomal RNA (376 nucleotides) under uncultured bacterium. RNAcentral describes it as "bacterial SSU rRNA". It matches the Rfam family "Bacterial small subunit ribosomal RNA", at positions 28 to 418 of the family's 1533-position model. The record is from RNAcentral.